AUUGAACGCUGGCGGCAUGCCUUACACAUGCAAGUCGGACGGCAGCACGGGAGCAAUCCUGGUGGCGAGUGGCGAACGGGUGAGUAAUACAUCGGAACGUGUCCUGGAGUGGGGGAUAGCCCGGCGAAAGCCGGAUUAAUACCGCAUACGCUCUGAGGAGGAAAGCGGGGGAUCUUUCGGGACCUCGCGCUCAAGGGGCGGCCGAUGGCAGAUUAGCUAGUUGGUGGGGUAAAGGCCUACCAAGGCGACGAUCUGUAGCUGGUCUGAGAGGACGACCAGCCACACUGGGACUGAGACACGGCCCAGACUCCUACGGGAGGCAGCAGUGGGGAAUUUUGGACAAUGGGCGCAAGCCUGAUCCAGCAAUGCCGCGUGUGUGAAGAAGGCCUUCGGGUUGUAAAGCACUUUUGUCCGGAAAGAAAACUUCUGCCCUAAUACGGCGGGGGGA
RNAcentral lists this ribosomal RNA (448 nucleotides) under Burkholderiaceae bacterium Ellin7072. RNAcentral's name for it is "bacterial SSU rRNA". It matches the Rfam family "Bacterial small subunit ribosomal RNA", at positions 29 to 472 of the family's 1533-position model. Lineage: Bacteria; Pseudomonadati; Pseudomonadota; Betaproteobacteria; Burkholderiales; Burkholderiaceae. The record is from RNAcentral.